Molecule: ribosomal RNA, 510 nt
Filed under: uncultured bacterium
Lineage: Bacteria
Description: bacterial SSU rRNA
Rfam family: Bacterial small subunit ribosomal RNA
Source: RNAcentral
GACGAACGCUGACGGCGUGCCUAAUACAUGCAAGUCGAACGCACUCUCGUUUAGAUUGAAGGAGCUUGCUCCUGAUUGAUAAACAUUUGAGUGAGUGGCGGACGGGUGAGUAACACGUGGGUAACCUGCCCUAAAGUGGGGGAUAACAUUUGGAAACAGAUGCUAAUACCGCAUAAAACCUAACACCGCAUGGUGUAGGGUUGAAAGAUGGUUUCGGCUAUCACUUUAGGAUGGACCCGCGGUGCAUUAGUUAGUUGGUGAGGUAAAGGCUCACCAAGACCGUGAUGCAUAGCCGACCUGAGAGGGUAAUCGGCCACACUGGGACUGAGACACGGCCCAGACUCCUACGGGAGGCAGCAGUAGGGAAUCUUCCACAAUGGACGAAAGUCUGAUGGAGCAACGCCGCGUGAGUGAAGAAGGUUUUCGGAUCGUAAAACUCUGUUGUUGGAGAAGAAUGUAUCUGAUAGUAACUGAUCAGGUAGUGACGGUAUCCAACCAGAAAGACCACGG